This 237-nucleotide long non-coding RNA is filed under the name Elaeis guineensis (African oil palm). RNAcentral's name for it is "long non-coding RNA (EGUI_LNC049017)". Lineage: Eukaryota; Viridiplantae; Streptophyta; Magnoliopsida; Arecales; Arecaceae. The record is from RNAcentral.
GUGGGCAGAUGAGUCUCAGAUCUGCAGUGUAAAGAUAUUGGGGUGAAGGUGUGGGUGGUUGUUAGAGAACAACUUGCACUAAGCGUGACCAACACGAGAACCACAUAGAUGUCUACAUACUCAUCAGUGGUCUUCUCGAUGCUGUAGUGGUGUGAGUGGUCCUUUGACCUACGGUGCUAUUGGCUAUUCGCAGUGAGGCUACUGGGUUUGACUAUACGUUCCCUUGUGUAGGGAUGC